UAAUAUUUAUUAUAUAAAUCUAAAGGAUUUGGCGGUAUAAUUAUUGUUUAGGGGAAUCUGUCUUUUAAUUUGAUAAUCCACGUUAUACCUUACUUUAUUUAAUAGUUUACACAUUUCCGUUUUAGUUUAUUUAUUAUAUAAUUAAUGAACUUAUAAUUUUUAAAAUUUUAAAAUCAGGUAAAUAAGUAGCAAUAAUAAAGGAUCAGAUGGAUUACAUUUAUUGAUAAUAAAGGUUAAUUAUAUGAAAUUAUAAUUUUAUUUUGAACUUAAGAGUAAAUUUUUAUUAGAUUGAUAAUUUGAAUUUAUAAAAUUAUAUGG
RNAcentral lists this ribosomal RNA (318 nucleotides) under Oropallene minor. Its description in RNAcentral is "partial 12S ribosomal RNA". Lineage: Eukaryota; Metazoa; Arthropoda; Pycnogonida; Pantopoda; Callipallenidae. The record is from RNAcentral.